UACGGGGGGGGCAAGCGUUGUUCGGAAUUACUGGGCGUAAAGGGUUCGUAGGUGGCCCGCUAAGUCAGACGUGAAAUCCCUCAGCUCAACUGGGGAACUGCGUCUGAGACUGGCGGGCUUGAGUGCAGGAGAGGAACGCGGAAUUCCAGGUGUAGCGGUGAAAUGCGUGGAUAUCUGGAGGAACACCGGUGGCGAAGGCGGCGUUCUGGACUGUUACUGACACUGAGGAGCGAAAGUGUGGGGAGCGAACAGG
This 253-nucleotide ribosomal RNA is filed under the name uncultured bacterium. RNAcentral describes it as "partial 16S ribosomal RNA". It matches the Rfam family "Bacterial small subunit ribosomal RNA", at positions 524 to 776 of the family's 1533-position model. The record is from RNAcentral.